GGCAAAACAUAUUUAUUAGAAGGAAAUCUAAAAUAGGCACAAAAUAGGGCUGACAAACCAGCCACAUAAAUGUGGAAAAUUGACAUAAAAAACCUUAAAUUACACACUAAACCAGCUCAAAACAAGUUGCAGAUAGAGGUGCCAAGACGAACAAAUGCAGAUGCAUACCCCACUGAAAUAUAUAUGCACAUAUGUUUCAAAUUCUGCAAAUAAUUGAUGGCAAACUAACGUAGCAAACACAUAUGCUUCAAAUUCCAAAUGAAGAUCCAAAGGCUAAAUCUAAGCAAAUAGGCUCUAGAUAAAUGCUCAGAACCCACGCUGACUGCAGAUGCUAAAGACUUGAAGAGGCCGCAGGUCAAGAUUCCAAAUAAAACAAUCUCCUAUCAGCCACAAAAAUUAACAGCCCCCUGUUAACCGAACUCUAGAUUACCCCAGUCACCCACCAAAAAUAUUGACUCUUGCAAUCAAAGCCACUAGUGAAACCCAAUCAGAACUGCUUAUGAAAGUAGAACAAUCCGCUUAGCACAAAUUUCACCGCAGUAGCCAAAACCCACUAAUGGAGAACUAGAGAGAUGCACAGCACUUUCAAAAGCAAAGGGCAAUAAUCCACCAUCGAAUAAGAAAACGAGCUACUUUAUGGAUACAAACAAAGUCAAUCUUCAAUGCUAAAUCCCCUUAAUUUAGUAAAUUGUUAAUGAUACACUACUGAUCCAAAAGAUAUGACCAACUGAAGAACAUAAAACUAAUAUACUAUUGAAUUAUAAAUUUCGCUCCAACAACAUCCCACCUCUGGAGACGUCCACUUUAGAGAAACAACAUACGAGAAUUGGUCAAAAACCAUAAACACCACACGAUUUGUCGCGCCACAAACAAUAGCACUCAUAAUCGCAACAACGCUAAAGAUACGAGCAAAAUCAGCGUUAAAUGUUGUAAAGGAGCAUAUCUGCAGCAAUUUGUUUGGCCAUAUGACUCACAACGGCGUCAUCAUCUUCAUCAAAGACCAAACCCAGUUUUUCCCCCAAUCUUAGCGUCGCAACAGCUUCUUGGAGUGGAGAAAUGGUGUACGAUUUCACUAUUUUAG
Molecule: unclassified non-coding RNA, 1081 nt
Filed under: Hevea brasiliensis (rubber tree)
Lineage: Eukaryota; Viridiplantae; Streptophyta; Magnoliopsida; Malpighiales; Euphorbiaceae
Source: RNAcentral